AAACAUUGCUCUACUAGUGUCCUGUGGCAACAUGCUUGGGAAGGUGACUGUGGGAACAGACUGAGGGAGAGAAUAAACACAGCCAUUAGGAGGGUCCAGAGGAGAUGGAUGUGACUUACUUUCUUGAUGGGGCCCCUCAGGACACCAUGUAACACCCUCCUGCCACCAUGAUUAGUGCUAUUAUGACAUGAGCCGAGAAGAUGUAACUGGUGAGGAACUCUGACCGUGGCAGGAACAUCUGAUUCUCCCUGAGCUUCAGCAGGACAUUGUUAGCUCCACCAUGACCCACGCAGUGAGGGUCCUCACUCCACUCUGGGCAGGAAACUGAUAACGUCGUCCUCCAUCAUUGGUCGGGGGAAAGGAGAGAGGGGCUGAGGAUGAGCCAACAGACAAGUCCUGUUCCCUGAUGAGAAUUAGGAAGGAAUGAGGGAGAAAUAAUCCUUCUACCCAGUAGACUUUCAAGUUAUUUCUUCUCUGGAAAAGCAACUAUAGUUUUGUGCUGGGUGAAUACACCCAAAACAAUGGACAGAAAUAAUAAAGUUAUUGAGAGACCAUACUGGUAACAACAAUGGAAGUUGUGGAUGCUACAUUUCUUGAUAUUUAAGCACUUGAUAUUUUGU
Molecule: long non-coding RNA, 620 nt
Organism: Eptesicus fuscus (big brown bat)
Lineage: Eukaryota; Metazoa; Chordata; Mammalia; Chiroptera; Vespertilionidae
Exons: 3
Source: RefSeq, a predicted model, not a curated record